RNAcentral lists this ribosomal RNA (839 nucleotides) under uncultured bacterium. Its description in RNAcentral is "bacterial SSU rRNA". It matches the Rfam family "Bacterial small subunit ribosomal RNA", at positions 11 to 878 of the family's 1533-position model. The record is from RNAcentral.
GUUUGAUCCUGGCUCAGGGUGAACGCUGGCGGCGUGCCUAACACAUGCAAGUCGAGCGGUGCAGCUGGAGGCUUCGGCCGAAGGCUGCAUAGCGGCGGACGGGUGCGUAACGCGUGGGAACGUGCCCCCUGGAGGCGGAUAGCCGCGGGAAACUGCGGGUAAACCGCCAUAGACUCGGGAGAGUAAAGGCCGGAAGGCGCCAGGGGAGCGGCCUGCGUCCCAUCAGGUAGUUGGUAGGGUAACGGCCUACCAAGCCUACGACGGGUAGCCGGUCUGAGAGGAUGGCCGGCCACAAGGGCACUGAGACACGGGCCCUACUCCUACGGGAGGCAGCAGUGGGGGAUAUUGGACAAUGGGCGAAAGCCUGAUCCAGCGACGCCGCGUGGAGGACGAAGCCCUUCGGGGUGUAAACUCCUUUUGUCGGGGAAAAAGAGCUGAUGGUACCCGACGAAUAAGCCCCGGCUAACUACGUGCCAGCAGCCGCGGUAAUACGUAGGGGGCGAGCGUUACCCGGAAUCACUGGGCGUAAAGGGUGCGUAGGCGGCCGCGUGUGUCUGGCGUAAAAUUCCACGGCUCAACCGUGGGUAUGCGCUGGAAACUACGCGGCUUGGGUGCGGCAGAGGCAGACGGAACUGCUGGUGUAGGGGUGAAAUCCGUAGAUAUCAGCANGAACGCCGGUGGAGAAGUCGGUCUGCUGGGCCGUAACCGACGCUGAGGCACGAAAGCUAGGGGAGCGAACCGGAUUAGAUACCCGGGUAGUCCUAGCCGUAAACGAUGCUCACUAGUGUGGGGGCGGAAGCCUCCGUGCUGAAGCGAACGCGAUAGUGAGCCGCCUGGGG